Molecule: ribosomal RNA, 492 nt
Filed under: uncultured bacterium
Lineage: Bacteria
Description: partial 16S ribosomal RNA
Rfam family: Bacterial small subunit ribosomal RNA
Source: RNAcentral
AGUGAACGCUGGCGGUAGGCCUAACACAUGCAAGUCGAACGGCAGCACAGUAAGAGCUUGCUCUUACGGGUGGCGAGUGGCGGACGGGUGAGGAAUACAUCGGAAUCUACUUUUUCGUGGGGGAUAACGUAGGGAAACUUACGCUAAUACCGCAUACGACCUACGGGUGAAAGCAGGGGAUCUUCGGACCUUGCGCGAUUGAAUGAGCCGAUGUCGGGUUAGCUAGUUGGCGGGGUAAAGGCCCACCAAGGCGACGAUCCGUAGCUCGUCUGAGAGGAUGGUCGGCGACACUGGAGCGGAGACGCGGACCAGGGUACUACGAGAGGCAGCAGUGGGGAAUAUUGGACAAUGGGCGCAAGCCUGAUCCAGCCAUACCGCGUGGGUGAAGAAGGCCUUCGGGUUGUAAAGCCCUUUUGUUGGGAAAGAAAAGCAGCAGGUUAAUACCCCGCUGUUCUGACGGUACCCAAAGAAUAAGCACCGGCUAACUUCGUG